CGUCCGUCCCAAAAUAAGGUUAUUUUUUAGUUUUGACUCUUCGUCUUAUUUAAAUUAUUUUUGCGAUUAAUAUUUUAAUUGUUACUAGAUAAUAAAAUAUGAAUAAUACUUUAUGCGUACUAUUUUUUUAAGUUUUUUAUAAUUUUUUUAAAUAAGACGAAUAGUCAAAGCAUUGGGCAUAUAAAUGAAAAAAUGACAUUAUU
Molecule: microRNA precursor, 203 nt
Filed under: Oryza brachyantha (malo sina)
Lineage: Eukaryota; Viridiplantae; Streptophyta; Magnoliopsida; Poales; Poaceae
Description: MIR812 microRNA precursor family
Rfam family: MIR812 microRNA precursor family (bases 30-171)
Source: Rfam by way of RNAcentral